RNAcentral lists this ribosomal RNA (253 nucleotides) under uncultured bacterium. Its description in RNAcentral is "partial 16S ribosomal RNA". It matches the Rfam family "Bacterial small subunit ribosomal RNA", at positions 524 to 776 of the family's 1533-position model. The record is from RNAcentral.
UACGUAGGGGGCAAGCGUUGUCCGGAAUCAUUGGGCGUAAAGAGCGUGUAGGCGGUCCGGUAAGUCGGCUGUGAAAGUCCAGGGCUCAACCCUGGGAUGCCGGUCGAUACUGCCGGACUAGAGUUCGGAAGAGGCGAGUGGAAUUCCCGGUGUAGCGGUGAAAUGCGCAGAUAUCAGGAGGAACACCGAUUGCGAAGGCAGCUCGCUGGGACGUUACUGACGCUGAGACGCGAAAGCGUGGGGAGCAAACAGG